AACGAACGCUGGCGGCAUGCCUAACACAUGCAAGUCGAACGAGACCUUCGGGUCUUGUGGCGCACGGGUGCGUAACGCGUGGGAACCUUCCCUUAGGUUCGGAAUAACUCCCCGAAAGGGGUGCUAAUACCGGAUAAUGUCUACGGACCAAUGAUUUAUCGCCUUUGGAUGGGCCCGCGUUGGAUUAGCUAGUUGGUAGGGUAAAAGCCUACCAAGGCGAAGAUCCAUAGCUGGUCUGAGAGGAUGAUCAGCCACACUGGGACUGAGACACGGCCCAGACUCCUACGGGAGGCAGCAGUGGGGAAUAUUGGACAAUGGGCGAAAGACUGAUCCAGCAAGGCCGCGUGAGUGAUGAAGGCCUUAGGGUUGUAAAGCUCUUUUACCCGGGAUGAUAAUGACAGUACCGGGAGAAUAAGCUCCGGCUAACUCCGUG
Molecule: ribosomal RNA, 433 nt
Filed under: uncultured bacterium
Lineage: Bacteria
Description: partial 16S ribosomal RNA
Rfam family: Bacterial small subunit ribosomal RNA
Source: RNAcentral